Molecule: ribosomal RNA, 253 nt
Filed under: uncultured bacterium
Lineage: Bacteria
Description: partial 16S ribosomal RNA
Rfam family: Bacterial small subunit ribosomal RNA
Source: RNAcentral
UACGGAGGGUGCAAGCGUUGCUCGGAAUUAUUGGGCGUAAAGGGUAGGUAGGUGGUCUUAUUUGUCUGGGGUGAAAGCCUUGAGCUUAACUCAAGAAGUGCCCCAGAAACGGUAAGACUGGAGUCCUGGAGAGGGUCGUGGAAUUCCCGGUGUAGCGGUGAAAUGCGUAGAGAUCGGGAGGAACACCAAUGGCGAAGGCAGCCUUCUGGGCCAACACUGACGCUCAUGCACGAAAGCGUGGGGAGCAAACAGG